AUGAAACAUUUCAUUGGACGUCUGUUGUCAGCGCUUUAUCAUAACACGUGAGUGUUUCCUUAUUUCCUUUAGAUUCGGUGUUUCCUGCUGGGCGCCUCUGUUUCUACAGUGACCACCACUGAUGAAAGGGAGAGCCGUGAGAGCGAUGCGCAUCCAGCCCCACUUUCUCGCCUGUUCAGGACAGAAUAAGAGGCUGCAGGGCAGAAGGUACCUGCGAAUCCGCUGGGCUUCGUCCCUGGUGAUGACCGUGUCGGUGAUCCCCCGGCCACACUUCCUAGGGGAGCAGCCUGGAGAGAGACGAGCCAGAAUGAGACGCUGACCCCAAGCUGAACCCCAACCACACUGCCACUUGCAUUUGUUGAGGAUUCCCCUGUCGGUGGGCCCCCACCCCUGGGAAAUUUUGUGGGGUGGGGCUGUGCCUUCCACAGGAUUAGGGGGCCAGAUUUGGCAAAUAAAAUACAGGACACCCACAUAGGUGCGAACUUCA
Long non-coding RNA from Canis lupus familiaris (dog), 487 nucleotides. RefSeq lists it as uncharacterized. The transcript has 2 exons. Lineage: Eukaryota; Metazoa; Chordata; Mammalia; Carnivora; Canidae. The record is from RefSeq and is a predicted model, not a curated record.